CCUACGGGCGGCAGCAGUGGGGAAUAUUGGACAAUGGGUGGAACCCUGAUCCAGCCAUGCCGCGUGUGUGAAGAAGGCCCUCGGGUUGUAAAGCACUUUCAGUGAGGAAGAACGCCUGGUGGUUAAUACCCAUCAGGAAAGACAUCACUCACAGAAGAAGCACCGGCUAACUCCGUGCCAGCAGCCGCGGUAAUACGGAGGGUGCGAGCGUUAAUCGGAAUUACUGGGCGUAAAGCGCGCGUAGGUGGCUUGAUAAGCCGGUUGUGAAAGCCCCGGGCUCAACCUGGGAACGGCAUCCGGAACUGUCAAGCUAGAGUGCAGGAGAGGAAGGUAGAAUUCCCGGUGUAGCGGUGAAAUGCGUAGAGAUCGGGAGGAAUACCAGUGGCGAAGGCGGCCUUCUGGACUGACACUGACACUGAGGUGCGAAAGCGUGGGUAGCAAACAGGAUUAGAUACCCGAGUAGUC
RNAcentral lists this ribosomal RNA (465 nucleotides) under Vreelandella stevensii. Its description in RNAcentral is "partial 16S ribosomal RNA". It matches the Rfam family "Bacterial small subunit ribosomal RNA", at positions 338 to 795 of the family's 1533-position model. Lineage: Bacteria; Pseudomonadati; Pseudomonadota; Gammaproteobacteria; Oceanospirillales; Halomonadaceae. The record is from RNAcentral.